Molecule: ribosomal RNA, 258 nt
Filed under: Olea europaea subsp. europaea
Lineage: Eukaryota; Viridiplantae; Streptophyta; Magnoliopsida; Lamiales; Oleaceae
Description: LSU_rRNA_bacteria
Rfam family: Bacterial large subunit ribosomal RNA
Source: RNAcentral
GAUCGAACAAAAAAAUUCGAAGGAAUCUAAGGCAGUUGAUAUAUAUACCUGUAAGUAUAAUCUUCACUACUACAAUUUCUUCCUUUUCCGUAUAUGGAGGCUGACGCCUGCCCAAUGCCGGAAGGUCAAGGAAAUUGGUGAUCUGAUGACAGCGGAGCCGACAACCGAAGCCCCGAUGAACGGCGGCCGUAACUGUAACGGUCUUAAGGUAGCGAAAUUCCUUGUCGAGUAAGUUCCGACCCGCACGAAAGGCAUAAC